UCCUUUAGAAUGUGUAGUGAGGUCUGGUCCUUGAGAAAGCGUGAGUAAUCCCUUCUUUAUUUCAGGGCUGUGAUCUCCCCCGUUUUUGGGGCAUCCUGAUCAUACAAGUGCUGGCAGCUGUAAGGGCAGCAUUUAUCUCUAGAGACUCCUCCUGUGGAGUGUGGGUCAAUGGGGUUCGAGGAUUGCCGGAGUUUUGUCUAAUCAGUGGUGUAAGCGCUGUGAAAUCUGCAGAGAGUGUAAUGGAACAUCACUAGCCCCAUGUUUGCUUGUAUGCAGGUAUUGAAAGGCUGUUACCAGGUCACCUCAGAGCCUUCACUUCUUCAGGCUGAACAGCCCCAACUCUCUCUCUUUAUAGGAAAGGCAUUCCAUCCCUUGGUUCAUAUUUGUGGCCAUUCUCUGGAUGUGCUCCAACAGCUCUAUGUCUGUCCUACACUGCAGCCAUCCAAAUCCAGACACAGCACUCCAGGCGAGGCCUCACCAGGGUAGAGCAGAGGGGCAGAAUCUCCUCCCUUCGCCUACUGACCACGCAUCUUUGGAUGGAACCCAGCAUACAGUUGCUUUCUGGGCUGGGAAGGCACGUUGCUGAGUGCCCACUACUCAGCCUGUUGAGGUCCCUCUGGAUGGUGUCCCAUCCCUCCGGUGUGUCACUGCACCCCACAGCUUGGUGUCAUUAGGGUGCACUUGACCCCCACUGUCAAUGUCACUGAUGAAGAGGCAAUCCCAGAUGUUUAUACAAACUCGGCAAAGAACCCCUUGAGAGCAGCCCUGCAGAGAAGGACUCGUGGAUCCCAGUGGAUAAGAAGCUGGAUGUGAGCUUGCAUCCUGGAAAGACAACUAUAUCCUGGGCUGCGUUAAAAGAAGAACGGCCAGCAGAGAGAGGCAGGUGAUUUUUUCCCCCUCUACUCAGCUCUUGUGAGGCACCAUCUGCAGUACUGCGUCCAGGCCUGGGACCCCCAGCACAGGAAGGUCUUGGAACUCUCGGAGCGGGUCCUGAGGAGGGCACUAAGAUGAUCAGAGGGCUGGAGCACCUCUCCUAUGAGGAAAGGUUGAGGGAGCUGGGCUUGUUUAGACUGGAGAAGAGAAGGCUCUGGAGAGACCUCAUUGUGGCCUUCCAGUACUUGAGGGAGUGGAUAAACAGGAGGGGAAACAGCUGUUUAUAAGGGUGGAUCGUGAUAGGACAAGGGGGAAUGGUUUUAAACUAAGACAGAAGAAGUUUAGGCUAGAUAUUAGGAGGGAGUUUUUCACUCAGAGUGGUGAUGCACUGGAACAUGUGCUUUAGAGUCACUUCCAGGAGGAUCUGCUCUGCGAUCGUUCACAGUACAGAGGUGAGACUGACACGUUGGUAGUUCCCAGGGUCAUCCUUUUUAUCUGUAAUAACAGAUGUGCUGUCGCCUCUUUUCUACUCACCAGGGAUUUCACCUGACUGCCACAACUUCUCAAAUACCAUUGAGAAUGGCUUGUUUACCGCAUCAGCGAAUACCCUCGU
RNAcentral lists this long non-coding RNA (1486 nucleotides) under Phasianus colchicus (ring-necked pheasant). Its description in RNAcentral is "lncRNA (ENSPCLG00000017536.1)". Lineage: Eukaryota; Metazoa; Chordata; Aves; Galliformes; Phasianidae. The record is from RNAcentral.